RNAcentral lists this ribosomal RNA (500 nucleotides) under uncultured bacterium. Its description in RNAcentral is "partial 16S ribosomal RNA". It matches the Rfam family "Bacterial small subunit ribosomal RNA", at positions 30 to 523 of the family's 1533-position model. The record is from RNAcentral.
AUUGAACGCUGGCGGAAUGCUUUACACAUGCAAGUCGAACGGCAGCACGGACUUCGGUCUGGUGGCGAGUGGCGAACGGGUGAGUAAUGUAUCGGAACGUGCCCAGUCGUGGGGGAUAACGUAGUGAAAAUUACGCUAAUACCGCAUACGAUCUAUGGAUGAAAGCGGGGGAUCGCAAGACCUCGCGCGCUUGGAGGGGCCGAUAUCAGAUUAGGUAGUGGGUGGGGUAAAGGACCACCAAGCCAACGAUCUGUAGCUGGUCUGAGAGGACGACCAGCCACACUGGAACUGAGACACGGUCCAGACUCCUACGGGAGGCAGCAGUGGGGAAUUUUGGACAAUGGGCGAAAGCCUGAUCCAGCCAUUCCGCGCGCAGGAUGAAGGCCCUCGGGUUGUAAACUGCUUUUGUACAGAACGAAAAGGUUUCUACUAAUACUAGGAGCUCAUGACGGUACUGUAAGAAUAAGCACCGGCUAACUACGUGCCAGCAGCCGCAGUAA